ACAUUCAUAGUGUAACGGUGAGCGCACUCGGCGCGUAUUCGAGAGGUCAGGGUUCGAGUCCCUGAGAGGGCA
RNAcentral lists this transfer RNA (72 nucleotides) under Stegodyphus mimosarum. It matches the Rfam family "tRNA". Rfam says of the family: Transfer RNA (tRNA) molecules are approximately 80 nucleotides in length. Their secondary structure includes four short double-helical elements and three loops (D, anti-codon, and T loops). Lineage: Eukaryota; Metazoa; Arthropoda; Arachnida; Araneae; Eresidae. The record is from Rfam by way of RNAcentral.